Molecule: ribosomal RNA, 585 nt
Filed under: Xylaria venosula
Lineage: Eukaryota; Fungi; Ascomycota; Sordariomycetes; Xylariales; Xylariaceae
Description: eukaryotic LSU rRNA
Rfam family: 5.8S ribosomal RNA (bases 210-363)
Source: RNAcentral
UCCGUAGGUGAACCUGCGGAGGGAUCAUUAAAGAGUUAAAAACUCCUAAACCCAUGUGAACCUACCUUUGUUGCCUCGGCAGGUCUGCAACUUACCCUGAGGGUCCCUACCCUGUAGGGACCUUACCCGGUAGUUGCCGGCAUAACCUGCCGGUGGUCUACUAAACUCUGUUUACUAGUUAUUCUGAAUAAUAUAACUAAAUAAGUUAAAACUUUCAACAACGGAUCUCUUGGUUCUGGCAUCGAUGAAGAACGCAGCGAAAUGCGAUAAGUAAUGUGAAUUGCAGAAUUCAGUGAAUCAUCGAAUCUUUGAACGCACAUUGCGCCCAUUAGUAUUCUAGUGGGCAUGCCUGUCCGAGCGUCAUUUCAACCCUUAAGCCCUGUUGCUUAGCGUUGGGAGCCUACAGAUACCCUCUGUAGUUCCUUAAAGUUAGUGGCGGAGUCGGUUUCACACUCUAGACGUAGUAAAUUUUAUCUCGCCUAUAGAUGAGCCGGUCCCUUGCCGUAAAACCCCCUAAUUUCUAAAGGUUGACCUCGGAUCAGGUAGGAAUACCCGCUGAACUUAAGCAUAUCAAUAAGCGGAGGA